This 1201-nucleotide long non-coding RNA is filed under the name Taeniopygia guttata (zebra finch). Its description in RNAcentral is "lncRNA (ENSTGUG00000019098.1)". Lineage: Eukaryota; Metazoa; Chordata; Aves; Passeriformes; Estrildidae. The record is from RNAcentral.
AUGAUUAUAUGCAGGUGCUUUUACUGAGAGCUCUGGGAAUCAGGGGUACAGACCCAAAUCUGACUCCGACAUGGCUUUUGAGCUGAACGUAUUUUCUAUUCUAUUGUUAUAUAACUUACAUAUUAAUUAUUAAACUUAUAUUGUUCUAUUGUAUACAUUGACUUUAUUCAAGCAUGAGUUUCUCGUGAUCUUUCUUAGGCCCCCGACCACAGUUUCUCAUGAUUAUCUUAUGAUUAAACAGUAAUUCUAUUUAAUUACUACACAAUCAUCAUAUCUAACAGUUAUAUCAUUUAUCAUGUACUAGCUACACAGGUGCAGUUCUAGCAAGGUAGAAGGCCUACAUGUACCUAGGGUAUUUUUUUUUUUCAGGGCCUACUAAACUUAAUUUUCCUUUUAACCCUUAAUCCCCAUGGUUUUAAAACCCUUUUACUAUCAAAACCAUCAUCAGCACUUGGGCGUGGCACAAUUCGAGUGGCACAAACAGUGCCUUGAGGCCACUUCACUCUGUUAUAAAUGGCUAAUGCAACAGCUGGCUCUCGCAAUUAAGAGAUUAAUAUUAUAUGUAUGUUAAGGAAAGUUUAUUGACUUAUAGUUAUGUAAUUGUGAUUUGUUGUUUAGAUGUCCUCUGUUCACCCCAUAGUCCAUCUUCCCCACUCUGUAUAGUUGCCAAGAGAGGGCCUUAGUAGUCCAGGCAUGUGGAAGGAGGGUGUGUGUGUACCUGUGCUAUUGCAUAAAACAUUUGAGAAACGGGCGAGCUUGUUGCUAGGAAGUGCAGCAUGACAACACCUCAAGUGGCAAGAAAGAAACCUCCAGGGAUGAAAGGCAAAGAAGAGUCGACUGACAGACCUUGGCAGGGGCCAGGAUUGCCUGAGGCAACCCCCAGGGGUACAAAAAGCGGAGCAGCCAAUUUAUAGAUGAGCUCAUGGAGAGAAACAUCCAGGGCAGGGAGGCUCCAGGGGAAAUGCUCAGGACAGCCACAGACUGCACAGAGGGACAUGAGAGUGGUGGGUCCGCAGGGAGAAGUCACAGCUGCCUCCCUUCUGAAGCACCCUGAGGACCUGGACAGGGCCGUGCUGUGCCCUGGGCACUGACCUGGAACUGAGGGAUGUGGCAGAGGCCUUUGCUGUCAGGGAUGUUGAGAAGGCUGGGCAGCGUCACGGUGAGUCCUCUCUCAAAGCCCCUGGAAAGGCCAGAGCCAUCC